AAUAAAGUCCCGGUGUGUGUGCGAGCGUGUUGUCUGUGGAUGCGGGUGCCUGUGAGUGUGAGCGCGUGCGCUAGCGCUGCAACCUCGCACGAAUAAUAAAAUCUGGGUCUAUGUGAGUGUGUGUCUGUGUGCGCGCGUGCCUGCGGGGAUGUGUGUACUACGCUUGUAACUCACCCUGAAUAAAGUCCGGGCGCGCGCGAGAGUGUGCGCGCGUGCACGCGGGGCUGCGUUAGCGCUGUGACACGCCGUGAAUAAAGUCCGGGGCUGCGUGUGCGCGCGCGCGUGCCUGCGGGAGUACGCGAGUGCAGGCAUGAGGGGGAACGUGUGCAUACAUACGUGUGUGUGUGUGUGUGCGAAGUUGAAAUUGCAAGAGUUUACCAAAUGCUUCCCCGGAGCGUGCGAGAAGAAACGGCCACUACCCGAGUAAAGAGCAUCUCUCUCUCCCAGUUUAACCAUAAGUCUUUCAGAAAAGACAUUUUCUGCAACUUCCGAGGAGGAUAUAGGAGAUAGAAAGUUGACCCCAAAGUCCAGAAGGAAGAGGAGGAGGAGGAGGAGAAAAAGGAGGAAGAGAAGGAGGAGGAGGAGGAGAAGGAAGGAAGAGGAGGAAGAAGAGGAGGAGGAGGAGAAGAAGAAAGAGGAGGAAAAAAGAAAAAGGAGAAGGAGGAGGAGAAGAAAAGGAGGAGGAAAAACAGUUUAGUAAAACAAAUUAAUUUAUUCACAUAGUGUAUGUGAUGAUUUACAUCCAUGGUCCACCAACUCUAGUAAGAUAAAAGGAGACAGUGAGUGAAUGAGGGGAUGGUGAACAGUGUCAAUUUUUUCAGAAAGGUAGAGAAGAAUAAAAACAGAAAGAAGACUAGGAAACAGGCUUAUCAGUGGAUAAUUUGUGACCUCUGGUAGAGCAGGUUCAAUAGAAUGGUUAGUCAGAAACCCAGUGAUAUCUAGCUAGUCAGUGUCAUCCGAAGUCUUCCUGGCCCCAAACCUGGUAUUCUACCCUGUACUCCAAUAUACUUAUAUUCAAAUAUGAAUAAUGGGGCAGCUAAAUGGUGCAGUGGAUAGAGCGCUGGCCCUGAAGUUAGGAGGACCUGGAGUUCAAAUGUAGCCUCAUUCAUUUAACACUGUCUGACCCUGGACAAAUCACUUAACUCCCAUUGUCUCAAAAUAAACAAAUAAGCAAGGGGGUAUUUUUCUUUUUUACUAGGUAUAGCUAAGACUAAGUGACUGACAGGGUCCUUUUGCACAGUGAUUCUGAAUGGAGAAAAGGAAAAAUGUUGAGAAAAUAGGAGCAUCAGGUAGAGAUUAUUAUUAUUUUUUUUUUUUUUGCUGAGGCAAUUGGGGUUAAGUGACUUGCCCAGGGUCACACAGUUAGGAAGUGUUAAGUAUCUUAGACCAGAUUUGAACUCAGGUCCUCCUGACUUCAGGGUUGGUGCUGUAUCCACUGCAUCACCUAACUGUCCAGAGAUUAUUUUGUCUUUAAGAUCUUUAAAAUGUUUGCACAUAAUAGGGCCCUGUAUAGAGCCCCAG
RNAcentral lists this long non-coding RNA (1521 nucleotides) under Sarcophilus harrisii (Tasmanian devil). RNAcentral describes it as "lncRNA (ENSSHAG00000022300.1)". The record is from RNAcentral. Lineage: Eukaryota; Metazoa; Chordata; Mammalia; Dasyuromorphia; Dasyuridae.